This 253-nucleotide ribosomal RNA is filed under the name uncultured bacterium. RNAcentral's name for it is "partial 16S ribosomal RNA". It matches the Rfam family "Bacterial small subunit ribosomal RNA", at positions 524 to 776 of the family's 1533-position model. The record is from RNAcentral.
UACAGAGGGUGCAAGCGUUGUUCGGAAUUAUUGGGCGUAAAGCGCGUGUAGGCGGCUUUGCAAGUCGGGUGUGAAAGCCCCCGGCUCAACCGGGGAACGGCGCGGGAAACUAGCAGGCUUGAGUUCGGGAGAGGGAUGCGGAAUUCCAGGUGUAGCGGUGAAAUGCGUAGAUAUCUGGAGGAACACCGGUGGCGAAGGCGGCAUCCUGGACCGAGAUUGACGCUGAGGCGCGAAAGCCAGGGGAGCAAACGGG